AAAUAGAAGUUACUCAGAAUAAACAUAAAAAGACACUAGAUAAGAUAGAACAAAAUUUAGAUUAUCUAAAGUCACAAGAAGUAGAAAUAGACAGAAAAAUUCAGUAUUUAAACCACAAGUUUAAUUUAGAAAAAAUACCUACAAAAUUAGAAAUUGAAAAACUAAUAAAAACCAUAAUAGAAAGACCUAAAGAAUUGGAAGUAAAAACAACUCAACUAAUAUCUAAGCUUGUAGAACAAGUAGAAAAUAUAACAACAGAGAUCAAAGAUUUGCAAGAAAUAACAAAAAGAUUAGAAGAAAUAUCACUUUCAUGAGUGAAGAAGAUAUAAAUUACAAUAAAGCACUAGAAAAAUCAAGAAAUUAUCAUAGUGA
This 372-nucleotide long non-coding RNA is filed under the name Capsicum annuum. RNAcentral describes it as "long non-coding RNA (CANN_LNC005765)". Lineage: Eukaryota; Viridiplantae; Streptophyta; Magnoliopsida; Solanales; Solanaceae. The record is from RNAcentral.